GACGAACGCUGGCGGCGUGCUUAACACAUGCAAGUCGAACGGAAAGGCCCUGCUUGCAGGGUACUCGAGUGGCGAACGGGUGAGUAACACGUGGGUGAUCUGCCCUGCACUUCGGGAUAAGCCUGGGAAACUGGGUCUAAUACCGGAUAGGAGCCAUUUUUAGUGUGAUGGUUGGAAAGUUUUUUCGGUGUAGGAUGAGCUCGCGGCCUAUCAGCUUGUUGGUGGGGUAAUGGCCUACCAAGGCGGCGACGGGUAGCCGGCCUGAGAGGGUGGACGGCCACAUUGGGACUGAGAUACGGCCCAGACUCCUACGGGGGGCAGCAGUGGGGAAUAUUGCACAAUGGGCGCAAGCCUGAUGCAGCGACGCCGCGUGGGGGAUGACGGCCUUCGGGUUGUAAACUCCUUUCGCUAGGGACGAAGCUUUUUGUGACGGUACCUAGAUAAGAAGCACCGGCUAACUACGU
This 464-nucleotide ribosomal RNA is filed under the name uncultured bacterium. RNAcentral describes it as "partial 16S ribosomal RNA". It matches the Rfam family "Bacterial small subunit ribosomal RNA", at positions 28 to 506 of the family's 1533-position model. The record is from RNAcentral.